Molecule: ribosomal RNA, 465 nt
Filed under: Vreelandella stevensii
Lineage: Bacteria; Pseudomonadati; Pseudomonadota; Gammaproteobacteria; Oceanospirillales; Halomonadaceae
Description: partial 16S ribosomal RNA
Rfam family: Bacterial small subunit ribosomal RNA
Source: RNAcentral
CCUACGGGGGGCUGCAGUGGGGAAUAUUGGACAAUGGGGGGAACCCUGAUCCAGCCAUGCCGCGUGUGUGAAGAAGGCCCUCGGGGUGUAAAGCACUUUCAGUGAGGAAGAACGCCUGGUGGUGAAUACCCAUCAGGAAAGACAUCACUCACAGAAGAAGCACCGGCUAACUCCGUGCCAGCAGCCGCGGUAAUACGGAGGGUGCGAGCGUUAAUCGGAAUUACUGGGCGUAAAGCGCGCGUAGGUGGCUUGAUAAGCCGGUUGUGAAAGCCCCGGGCUCAACCUGGGAACGGCAUCCGGAACUGUCAAGCUCGAGUGCAGGAGAGGAAGGUGGAAUUCCCGGUGUAGCGGUGAAAUGCGUAGAGAUCGGGAGGAAUACCAGUGGCGAAGGCGGCCUUCUGGACUGACACUGACACUGAGGUGCGAAAGCGUGGGUAGCAAACAGGAUUAGAUACCCUGGUAGUC